Molecule: ribosomal RNA, 677 nt
Filed under: uncultured archaeon
Lineage: Archaea
Description: bacterial SSU rRNA
Rfam family: Archaeal small subunit ribosomal RNA
Source: RNAcentral
CCCUAUGGGGUGCAGCAGGCGAGAAAACUUUGCAAUGUGCGAAAGCACGACAAGGUUAAUCCGAGUGGUUUGUGCUAAACGAACCUUUUGUCGGUCCUAGAAACACCGAUGAAUAAGGGGUGGGCAAGUUCUGGUGUCAGCCGCCGCGGUAAAACCAGCACCUCAAGUGGUCAGGAUGAUUAUUGGGCCUAAAGCACCCGUAGCCGGCUCUGUAAGUUUUCGGUUAAAUCUGUACGCUCAACGUACAGGCUGCCGGGAAUACUGCAGAGCUAGGGAGUGGGAGAGGUAGACGGUACUCGGUAGGAAGGGGUAAAAUCCUUUGAUCUAUUGAUGACCACCUGUGGCGAAGGCGGCCUACCAGAACACGUCCGACGGUGAGGGAUGAAAGCUGGGGGAGCAAACCGGAUUAGAUACCCGGGUAGUCCCAGCUGUAAACUAUGCAAACUCAGUGAUGCAUUGGCUUGUGGCCAAUGCAGUGCUGCAGGGAAGCCGUUAAGUUUGCCGCCUGGGAAGUACGUACGCAAGUAUGAAACUUAAAGGAAUUGGCGGGGGAGCACCACAAGGGGUGAAGCCUGCGGUUCAAUUGGAGUCAACGCCAGAAAUCUUACCCGGAGAGACAGCAGAAUGAAGGUCAAGCUGAAGACUUUACCAGACAAGCUGAGAAGUGGUGCAUGGCC